UAAUUUCUGGCUUCCCUGACUUGGCUUGUACCUGACCAUUCUCUAUUCUAUAACGCAUAGUCUGGCCAUUCUAAGGACUGAUAAUCAUUAUCUAAUCUAUUAUCAUAUUAACUGCGUGUUGGGUCACUAGGUAUCGUGACAGUCAGCCACCAUUGUCAAGGUCCUCUACUUGCUUGCACAGUUCAAGGAGAACCGAGCCUUGCCUAGAGGUUGCAGUGCCAGCUGCCUGAGAGUGUUGGAUGGCUUGCAG
This is a non-coding RNA of Pelobates cultripes (western spadefoot toad), 250 nucleotides long. Lineage: Eukaryota; Metazoa; Chordata; Amphibia; Anura; Pelobatidae. The record is from the annotation of a GenBank genome assembly.